Non-coding RNA from Peromyscus maniculatus bairdii (prairie deer mouse), 1295 nucleotides. Lineage: Eukaryota; Metazoa; Chordata; Mammalia; Rodentia; Cricetidae. The record is from RefSeq and is a predicted model, not a curated record.
UUGCAGGAACAUUCCCAGGAACUCCUGGAAAGGGCUCACCAGCAGGAAUGGACCUCAGUGCUGAUGGCAACAACCAGUUCUUCCUGUGUGCUCACGGCCUCAUGGUUCUUUGAGGCCAAGCCUCUGAAUAUGCCUUAUUUAAAUUUCAGAAGUGUCUGAGGCAUAAACACUGUCAUUAUCCUAACUCCCAGAUGAGGAACGGCAUCUCAUGCCAUUAAUGUCAUUGGCUCUGAAUCCUACAGGUAGGGGAGGUGGAGGUGGAAGCCACACAAAGGUCGGGAAGAAGUUCUGUCCACCAGAAGGUAAAGGAAGGGCAGGCUCCAGAGGCAACCACCAGGUGGCGCUGCUGCUACAAGAAUGAAGCAUCAAGACCCCGCGCGAGGUGGGCAGGCUAGGGAGCGGUGCCCGCCCCUCUGCUCCUCCAGGCUGGGCGGCACAUCUGACUUGCAGUUGGGCAAUGGUAACCCUCUGGGCCCCAGACACAGCCUCUGGGGCCUCAUCCUAAACAAACCAAUUAAGGCUUGUGCAAAAAGUUGUAUUCCAACCGCUGCUCCCUGACACUUGGACCGUUUGCGGUGGAAUGAGCUGAAUUAUUUAUAUUCUUCCCUCCUUCAGUCAAGGAGACAGGAAAAUGGAAUCUGCCACCAGGACGCCAGUCUCCAUGCUUGGCAACAGGGAGGCUCUGCAGUCUGGGUGCCGCCACAUGAGCACACAGGCCACACACCCAAUCCUGGGGCCGCAGACAGGUGGCGUGGAGCUGGAGGUGUGGGGCACAGGCUGGUGCUCUACUGUUCUUGGACAAUUUGACUCCUUCUCUGGGCCCAACCUGAGCACUCAGCCGAGAGCCCAGGGGCGUUCGCCCGUGACAGUGUCGGCAGGGCAUACGGUUUGUAACAGUCAGCGUUAACGUCCAUUUGACAAUCUGUGAUCACCCGGGAGAGCCACCCGUGAGCAUGCCGAAAUGGAGAAAAAUGUUGUUUUAGGAAAAACUUGCGAUGACUCGGAGGCCUCCCAUAAGCUAGAGAGAAACAACAUGCCACUCGGUCAUAGGAAACGCCCUGACAUUUCCGUCAUGACUUAAACACGUGUGUCACUUUAAAGCAUCCUCCGGUUCCACAGAGAAGAGACAAGGACAAAUGACAUCAUCACCACUGCGACCGCUUGAUCCCCGCCAUCACUCUGACUCCCAACAUGCAAAUCCUAAAGAGCCUGAGUGCGGUAUUAAACAUCCCCUCAGUCAGCUCUUUGCUGCUCUCUCCUUUGUGCCUAAUAGCUUUCUUUGGAGCGUUGUCUCU